Molecule: ribosomal RNA, 253 nt
Filed under: uncultured bacterium
Lineage: Bacteria
Description: partial 16S ribosomal RNA
Rfam family: Bacterial small subunit ribosomal RNA
Source: RNAcentral
UACGUAGGUGGCAAGCGUUGUCCGGAUUUACUGGGCGUAAAGAGCGCGCAGGCGGCUGGUCAAGUCCGAUGUGAAAUCUCCCGGCUUAACUGGGAAACUGCCAUUGAUACUAUUUGUCUUGAAUACUGUGGAGGUCAGCGGAAUAUGUCAUGUAGCGGUGAAAUGCUUAGAUAUGACAUAGAACACCAAUUGCGAAGGCAGCUGGCUACACAAAUAUUGACACUGAGGCACGAAAGCGUGGGGAUCAAACAGG